Molecule: ribosomal RNA, 253 nt
Filed under: uncultured bacterium
Lineage: Bacteria
Description: partial 16S ribosomal RNA
Rfam family: Bacterial small subunit ribosomal RNA
Source: RNAcentral
AACGUAGGGGGCGAGCGUUAUCCGGAAUCACUGGGCGUAAAGGGUAUCUAGGCGGUGUAUUAAGUCCUGCGUGAAAGCUCCCGGCUCAACUGGGAGAGCGCGUGGGAGACUGGUGCGCUAGAGACUCGGAGAGGGGUGUGGAAUUCCCGGUGGAGUGGUGAAAUGCGUUGAGAUCGGGAGGAACACCAGUGGCGAAGGCGGCACCCUGGCCGAGUUCUGACGCUGAAGUGCGACAGCGUGGGGAGCAAACGGG